GUUGUAAACCUCUUUUAGCAGGGAAGAAGCGAAAGUGACGGUACCUGCAGAAAAAGCGCCGGCUAACUACGUGCCAGCAGCCGCGGUAAUACGUAGGGCGCAAGCGUUAUCCGGAAUUAUUGGGCGUAAAGAGCUCGUAGGCGGUUUGUCGCGUCUGCUGUGAAAUCCCGAGGCUCAACCUCGGGUCUGCAGUGGGUACGGGCAGACUAGAGUGCGGUAGGGGAGAUUGGAAUUCCUGGUGUAGCGGUGGAAUGCGCAGAUAUCAGGAGGAACACCGAUGGCGAAGGCAGAACUCUGGGCCGUUACUGACGCUGAGGAGCGAAAGGGUGGGGAGCAAACAGGCAUAGAUACCCUGGUAGUCCACCCCGUAAACGUUGGGAACUAGUUGUGGGGUCCAUUCCACGGAUUCCGUGACGCAGCUCACGCAUUAAGUUCCCCGCCUGGGGAGUACGGCCGCAAGGCUAAAACUCAAAGGAAUUGACGGGGACCCGCACAAGCGGCGGAGCAUGCGGAUUAAUUCGAUGCAACGCGAAGAACCUUACCAAGGCUUGACAUAUACGAUAACGGGCCAGAAAUGGUCAACUCUUU
Molecule: ribosomal RNA, 588 nt
Filed under: Microbacterium sp. Ri3Pt_4254
Lineage: Bacteria; Bacillati; Actinomycetota; Actinomycetes; Micrococcales; Microbacteriaceae
Description: bacterial SSU rRNA
Rfam family: Bacterial small subunit ribosomal RNA
Source: RNAcentral